GGCGUAAGCGCGCGCAGGUGGUUUCUUAAGUCUGAUGUGAAAGCCCACGGCUCAACCGUGGAGGGUCAUUGGAAACUGGGAGACUUGAGUGCAGAAGAGGAAAGUGGAAUUCCAUGUGUAGCGGUGAAAUGCGUAGAGAUAUGGAGGAACACCAGUGGCGAAGGCGACUUUCUGGUCUGUAACUGACACUGAGGCGCGAAAGCGUGGGGAGCAAACAGGAUUAGAUACCCUGGUAGUCCACGCCGUAAACGAUGAGUGCUAAGUGUUAGAGGGUUUCCGCCCUUUAGUGCUGAAGUUAACGCAUUAAGCACUCCGCCUGGGGAGUACGGCCGCAAGGCUGAAACUCAAAGGAAUUGACGGGGGCCCGCACAAGCGGUGGAGCAUGUGGUUUAAUUCAAAGCAACGCGAAGAACCUUACCAGGUCUUGACAUCCUCUGAAGAGGGAGAGAUAGGGCUUCUCCUUCGGGAGCACAGUGACAGGUGGUGCAUGGUUGUCGUCAGCUCGUGUCGUGAGAUGUUGGCUUAAGUCCCGC
This 533-nucleotide ribosomal RNA is filed under the name Bacillus cereus. RNAcentral describes it as "bacterial SSU rRNA". It matches the Rfam family "Bacterial small subunit ribosomal RNA", at positions 557 to 1090 of the family's 1533-position model. The record is from RNAcentral. Lineage: Bacteria; Bacillati; Bacillota; Bacilli; Caryophanales; Bacillaceae.